This 558-nucleotide ribosomal RNA is filed under the name uncultured bacterium. Its description in RNAcentral is "bacterial SSU rRNA". It matches the Rfam family "Bacterial small subunit ribosomal RNA", at positions 358 to 916 of the family's 1533-position model. The record is from RNAcentral.
GGAAUAUUGGUCAAUGGGCGCAAGCCUGAACCAGCGACGCCGCGUGCGGGAUGAAGGGGCUUUGCCUCGUAAACCGCUGUCGGAUGGGACGAAAGAUAGCUUUGAGCUAUUGGGACGGUACCAUCAAAGGAAGGAUCGGCUAACUACGUGCCAGCAGCCGCGGUAAUACGUAGGAUCCGAGCGUUGUCCGGAGUUACUGGGUGUAAAGGGUGCGUAGGCUGUUCUGUGCGUCAGAGGUGAAAUCCACGGGCUUAACUCGUGGGGUGCCUUUGAUACGGCAGGGCUUGAGUACGAGAGAGGUGCGUGGAAUUCCUGGUGUAGCAGUGAAAUGCGUAGAUAUCAGGAGGAACACCGGUGGCGAAGGCGGCGCACUGGCUCGUAACUGACGCUGAGGCACGAAAGCGUGGGGAUCAAACAGGAUUAGAUACCCUGGUAGUCCACGCCUUAAACGAUGCAUGCUUGGUGUUGGUCUCGCAAGAGAUCAGUGCCGUAGUUAACAUGAUAAGCAUGCCACCUGGGGAGUACGAUCGCAAGGUUGAAACUCAAAUGAAUUGACGG